Molecule: ribosomal RNA, 305 nt
Filed under: uncultured bacterium
Lineage: Bacteria
Description: bacterial SSU rRNA
Rfam family: Bacterial small subunit ribosomal RNA
Source: RNAcentral
GGGUUCCUACGGGGGGCAGCAGUAGGGAAUCUUCCACAAUGGACGAAAGUCUGAUGGAGCAACGCCGCGUGAGUGAAGAAGGGUUUCGGCUCGUAAAGCUCUGUUGGUAGUGAAGAAAGAUAGAGGUAGUAACUGGCCUUUAUUUGACGGUAAUUACUUAGAAAGUCACGGCUAACUACGUGCCAGCAGCCGCGGUAAUACGUAGGUGGCAAGCGUUGUCCGGAUUUACUGGGUGUAAAGGGAGCGCAGGCGGGAAGCCAAGUCAGCUGUGAAAACUACGGGCUUAACUUGUAGACUGCAGUUGA